RNAcentral lists this ribosomal RNA (271 nucleotides) under uncultured bacterium. Its description in RNAcentral is "partial 16S ribosomal RNA". It matches the Rfam family "Bacterial small subunit ribosomal RNA", at positions 524 to 794 of the family's 1533-position model. The record is from RNAcentral.
UACGUAGGGUGCGAGCGUUAAUCGGAAUUACUGGGCGUAAAGCGUGCGCAGGCGGUUAUACAAGACAGUUGUGAAAUCCCCGGGCUUAACCUGGGAAUUGCAUCUGUGACUGUAUGGCUAGAGUGUGUCAGAGGGGGGUAGAAUUCCACGUGUAGCAGUGAAAUGCGUAGAUAUGUGGAGGAAUACCGAUGGCGAAGGCAGCCCCCUGGGAUAACACUGACGCUCAUGCACGAAAGCGUGGGGAGCAAACAGGAUUAGAAACCCUUGUAGU